Long non-coding RNA from Ostrea edulis (European flat oyster), 269 nucleotides. RefSeq lists it as uncharacterized. The record is from RefSeq and is a predicted model, not a curated record. Lineage: Eukaryota; Metazoa; Mollusca; Bivalvia; Ostreida; Ostreidae. The transcript is spliced from 3 exons.
CGCCCAUAUCCUAUACAGAGCAUGUGCGACAAAGCUUUAAACAACGCCCAGGUAUACUGCGCCCACCAUGAAGCAUCCUGAAAUGAACGGUUGAAUAUUCGAAGUUCAAUAAUAAAUUCAAGGAUGUCUAGGAUUACUUACUGUUUCUCACCAAAGAAAACUAUUGAUACAAAUACCUUUAUAAAUGGUCCAUACCAGCCACGCAGUGUCCUCAAACAAGAUAAUGGAGCUCCAGAAAUCUCCUCAUCCGGUCAUAUCGUACAGAAUUU